UUCCCUACGGACGCAGCAGUAGGGAAUAUUGCACAAUGGGGGAAACCCUGAUGCAGCGACGCCGCGUGAAGGAGGAAGUAUUUCGGUAUGUAAACUUCUAUCAGCAGGGAAGAAAGUGACGGUACCUGACUAAGAAGCCCCGGCUAACUACGUGCCAGCAGCCGCGGUAAUACGUAGGGGGCAAGCGUUAUCCGGAUUUACUGGGUGUAAAGGGAGCGUAGGCGGCGAUGCAAGUCAGAAGUGAAAGCCCGGGGCUCAACUCCGGGACUGCUUUUGAAACUGUAUGGCUAGAUUGCAGGAGAGGC
Molecule: ribosomal RNA, 305 nt
Filed under: uncultured bacterium
Lineage: Bacteria
Description: bacterial SSU rRNA
Rfam family: Bacterial small subunit ribosomal RNA
Source: RNAcentral